GCGCCUUUAGCUCAGUUGGUAGAGCAGUAGACUCUUAAUCUAUUUGUCCGGGGUUCGAGCCCCCGAAGGCGCACUA
Molecule: transfer RNA, 76 nt
Filed under: Lacrimispora celerecrescens
Lineage: Bacteria; Bacillati; Bacillota; Clostridia; Lachnospirales; Lachnospiraceae
Also listed under: 3 other names
Description: [Clostridium] celerecrescens tRNA-Lys
Rfam family: tRNA
About the family: Transfer RNA (tRNA) molecules are approximately 80 nucleotides in length. Their secondary structure includes four short double-helical elements and three loops (D, anti-codon, and T loops).
Source: RNAcentral